GAGUUUGAUCAUGGCUCAGGAUGAACGCUAGCGGCAGGCCUAACACAUGCAAGUUCGAGGGGUAGGUCAUUUCGGUGACUGAGACCGGCGCACGGGUGCGUAACGCGUAUGCAAUCUGCCUUUUACUGAGGGAUAGCCCGAAGAAAUUUGGAUUAAUACCUCAUAGUAUUAUGAAGUGGCAUCACUUUAUGAUUAAAGAAUUUCGGUAAAAGAUGAGCAUGCGUCCCAUUAGCUAGAUGGUAAGGUAACGGCUUACCAUGGCAACGAUGGGUAGGGGUCCUGAGAGGGAGAUCCCCACACUGGUACUGAGACACGGACCAGACUCCUACGGGAGGCAGGCAGUGAGGAAUAUUGGUCAAUGGACGCAAGUCUGAACCAGCCAUGCCGCGUGUGU
Molecule: ribosomal RNA, 394 nt
Filed under: uncultured Flavobacterium sp.
Lineage: Bacteria; Pseudomonadati; Bacteroidota; Flavobacteriia; Flavobacteriales; Flavobacteriaceae
Description: bacterial SSU rRNA
Rfam family: Bacterial small subunit ribosomal RNA
Source: RNAcentral